CAGACUGCUGCCAUGCCGGCUGGCUAGGUCGCUCUGGGAAAGUGUAAAAGGUGACUUGAAAAAUCACAGUAGGAAAACUCGCUUCUGUAAGCAGGAAGGCUCAGGAUGGUGAGUGAUCUUCAAAGGCAAGGACUGGGAAAAUGAACAGAUAUCAAGAUCCCAGAAGUAGCUGAUGCAAAAAUCACAUCUCCCAACCAAAGAAGACAAGAGAGCUUCUGCUCAGGAGUCACCAGACAAGUCAUUGGAAUCUGUACAGCACUGGAUUCUCUUGAGCACCUAUAAAUUUUCGUAACAUCAGCUCCAAUAAGUGAGUUGCAUCAGAGACUUCUGGGAAGACAGUGAAGCACCAAGGAAAUUUCUGCAUGCCUUUGCAUACUAACACUUGAGAUGCUUAUCUGAGACUUGAAUUUCCAGUUUCUAUAUUUUUUAUGUACUCACUCAUGAACAAGUUCAGUCUACUCAUUCCAUCUUUUAAACCUCCAUAGUUUUUGAAUUCCUAUUGUCCCAUUGGUCACUAAAAAUAUCUGGUUUCUGAGUCCCUGCUUAAGCUUGUGAUCACCACGGGAAGACCUCUGUCUGGAGCACAGCCAUCCAACUGUCAGUUUACACAAAUCUCCAUCACUUAUGACUCCACUCCUCCCACCUUUUUUUUUUUUAUUUUUGAGGCAGGGUUUCUCUGUGGCUUUUCAGGCUGUCCUGGAACUAGUUCUUGUAGGCUGGUCUCAAACUCAGAAAAUCAUCUGCCUGUCUUUGCCUCCCGAGUGCUGGGAUUACAGGCCUGCACUACCAGCUUCCCCAUUUUUUCUUUUCAUAAUUUCAAAUGGAGUUCUCAUGUUACCCAGGCUGGCUUCAAACUCACCAUGAAAUUUACCUUGAGCCCUGCCUGAUCCCCCUGUCUGUGUUUCUCACUUGCUGGGAUUAUAGGUGUGUGCCAUGGUACCAGAUGUUCUUCUUUCUUCUUGUUGAGUUAGAUUUGCUACAGUACUAAAAAGGAGAAAUGCUGUGGAAUAAUCCUUUUGUACAUUCUAAAGAUUUGUCACUCGGAUUGACUUAAUAAAAAGCUGACUGGUCAGCUUCUAGGCAGGAUGUAUAGGACGGAGAGCCAGACACAGAAGAUGCUGGGAAGAGGGGCAGAGUCAGAAGAGUUGUCAGCUAGAUAGAGAGGAAACAAGACAUGCCUGAGAGGUAAAUGCCACAAGCCUCAUGGCAGAAUGUGAAUUAGUAGAAAUGGGUUUAUUUAAGUUGUAAGAGAUAGUUAGUAAUAAGCCCAAGCAAUUGGCUAAGCAAUUAUAAUUAAUAUUAAGCCUCCAUGUCUGUUAUUUGGGAACUGGCAGGUGGGAAAGAAAUGUCUGCUAACAUAUUGAUGUCUUAUUGAUACUCCCUUAUCUCACAGCAUAAACUUCAGAAAAUGGCAUUGUG
This 1419-nucleotide long non-coding RNA is filed under the name Cricetulus griseus (Chinese hamster). RNAcentral's name for it is "lncRNA (ENSCGRG00015000966.2)". Lineage: Eukaryota; Metazoa; Chordata; Mammalia; Rodentia; Cricetidae. The record is from RNAcentral.